This 558-nucleotide small RNA is filed under the name Pongo abelii (Sumatran orangutan). Its description in RNAcentral is "processed transcript". The record is from RNAcentral. Lineage: Eukaryota; Metazoa; Chordata; Mammalia; Primates; Hominidae.
UUUACUUCCGGCAGCAGGUGGUGGGGCCAUGUGGAAAUGGCUUCUUUACUUGAAGUCUGCUAAGAUGUCACUGAAAAUAUUGAGGAACAGGUGAGCGUGGUGAUCCCUGAAGACCAGCGUGGGACGAAAACGAAUGGAUUUGUCACCACAGCCACCCAACACCACACCUGAAAGAGGCAGGAGAGAUGGAGUCUCGCUCUCUCACCCAGACUGGGGUGCAGUGGCGCAAUCUCACUCACUGCAACCUCCACCUCCCAGGUUCAAGCCAUUCUCCUGCCUCAGUCUCCCAAGUAGCUGGGAUUACAGGCGUCGCCACCAUGGCCAGCUAAUUUUUGUAUUUUUAGUAGAGAUGAGGUUUUGCUGUGUUGGCCAGGCUGGUCUCGAACUCCUGACUUCAGCUGAUCUGCCCACCUCGGCCUCCCAAAGUGCUGGGAUUACAGGCGUGAGCCAUUGCAUCCGGCCUGUUUAUACCUUUGAGACCACGUUUUCUCAUUUUUAAAAUGGAGGUUGAUUAUCCCUGCCCUUCCGAGGCUGCUGCAAGGAUUCUGUAAGAUGGCA